Molecule: long non-coding RNA, 2123 nt
Filed under: Spirodela polyrhiza (greater duckweed)
Lineage: Eukaryota; Viridiplantae; Streptophyta; Magnoliopsida; Alismatales; Araceae
Description: long non-coding RNA (SPOL_LNC000310)
Source: RNAcentral
ACUGCCGCAACAAAGAGAUGAGAAGCGUGGUUCUCAGCACGUCAGUAACCGAUGUUGCUAUUCAUUUCAUGAACUCCAGACAAACACUCUCACGCUUGCAGGAAAAAAAAUAGCAAGACAGAAGAUGAACCAACUGGACAUUCAAGAACAUGUACUGAUGAUCAAGUCGAGCAGAAGCAGAUCAAAUUAGCCCGAAGAAAGGAACAUAUUGAUGUGCUCGGGUUAGCCAGCUAAAGAAAAUUUUUAGGCCUUCGCUGUUUUUCAUCUCGACUAGAAAGUUCAAACACCGAAUGACCUGGCCCACGAAUUGAGAGGAUGAAAUCUCAUCAACCAUAGAGAACAAAGAAGGGCUUGAUUGACGAGCGUCUGCAUGAUGCCCGUGUGGAACAUCCAAGAACAGAGCAAAGGAAAGCACAAAAGUGGCUGGUUGUGUUCAGAUUCAUGUCUAAAAAAACACUCAAGGGCAUUCCAUUUCCAAAAGGAUGUUGAUGGGCUCUCAGACCAUAAUUGAGAUAUAUCCGCACAAAACAGGAACAGUAACAGAGAAUGGCAACCACUGAGCCAUAACAAGAACAGAGGAAAAAAAAUUGAGGGCCAAAGGAUUAGCAGUAAGGGGGACAACUUUCAAAAGAUGAAGAUGAGAAACGCAUGUUAACAUCACGAGACAAAUAUAAGAAAAAAUACUAUUGGUUGAGUGUGCUCCAAUAAAACGACAACUGAAGAAACUUACUAAUCCCAACAAGGAAAAGUGAGAAGAGAUGACCAAGAUGAGAUGAACUUUUACAUCAAAAAUCAGAACUAUUGUAAGGUUCAGGAUGCAAAUCUGGUACAAAUCUCAAUUAAGAAGAAUAGGUACUAGAUUAACCUAAAAAAAAUGCUCCAUUGCCGCAUCAUCAGUAAUUUCAACAGGAAAUGGCAAAACACACUUGUAAAAUAAAUAAAUCCAAUAUCACUCAACAAAACACAAAGUAAGCCAAACAGACAGAUCCUAUUCCAUGCGUAACACAAAAACCAGCCCUGUUGUGAGUUUCCCGUAGCUUGACUAUAGGAGACAUCAGUCAAAGCGAUUUGACUUCCUCAGAGAGAAGAUCAAUCGACCAAGGAAAAUAAAAAGCCCCAUCAGCGGUCAUUAAACUGAAGAGGGUGUAGGUAAAUUUAGAGACAUCUCGUUAUCAUAUAAUUUACAUAGAAUUAGUAGCUUUCAAGCAUAAAUAAAAAUUAAAGUGGAUAUAGGACCCUGACCGAAAAUACCAUUCAAGGUGUUUCGAAGGUUUUAACGUAACGAAGCAUACGUCGAAACAUUUAGCAAGGCUGCCAUCAUGGCAGCGGAGGUCAGACGAUCAAUAAUUUCCCCACUAAAGGUACAACUUUUAAAACCAAAUAUAAAUAAUUCGUACAUACAAUAGAAUUGUGAAAAGAACGCCUACAGGACGGCCAUCAAAACAAUCGAAUUUCUUGCUACAAAAUCCCAGAGACAGAGCAGCGGAAUGACGCAACAGAGAAGAAAAAGGACGCAGACAGAAGCCUUCAGCUAGCCACCAUUCACGAUCAGUGCAAGAGAAAUACAUGUGGCGGUCAAGAUAGGGCAGAGACAACUGAUCCGACCAAGUCCUAAAAAAACCGUCAACCUAUUGACAUUAAACACAUCCAUCGGCCUGUCAAGAGAAGACAUCUCCAACCGCUACUCCGCCACUGAAAUAAUCACUCUACAUGUACAAAGAGCAAGAGGCCCCAUAUGAGACGGCAGGAGGAACGAAAUGGAACGAAUUCCUACGGCUAAGGCCAACUACAAAUGGAUCCAAGGCAAAACGAACUGCGGCCAAAUGCAGAUCAACGCAGCAUCUGGCAGAAGGAAGAAGGUCGCUGUACAAAAGAGAAAUCUCCUCGCAUCCACACUUAGGAAAAAGGAGACUUCAGCGUUCACCUCGAGCAAAAUGAAGUCACUGAACCCGGUCAGAUGGCUGCCAGAAUCCGUUCCGCAACCCCUCGAGAGGCGAACAGAACUAGAAAGGCGAAGCGGAGAAACUCAGCGUCGACAAGAGUACAUGGGAUAGAUAAACAACCAAGUGAACGAGAGAAAUAUCAGCGGGUCGAGAGUUAGCGAUCGAGGAGGGAUCGGAGAU